CUCAAAGAUUAAGCCAUGCAAGUGGUUAUAUUAACCCGACAGUUUAAAUAAGUGUUAAAUGCUACAUUAAACUUACUCCAUCACGCACAACACAUGAUUUUGUUUACAGUAGUAACAAUUUCAGCGUGAGUCACCUCAGCAGUGAAUCACUGAAAUUUACCCAAUAUCAGUAUCACUUACGCAACUGCAGACAGCUGCUUAAUACAGUCACACUUGUCUUGACUUGGCGUCAAUAAAAAAUUUCAUUCGACACCUGUUCGCGCAGGCAGACGGUGGAUUUUUUUAUUUUGUUGCAUCACGCAUACAAAAUUUUUUUGAUUUCUCUGUAUCGCUUAUUCUCAAAGGACAUGCGUUACACCGUGACAAUUUUCUUUUAUGGAUAACUCAGGGAAAGUUUGGCUAAUACGUACGAGUAAUCUACCUCACACACACACACACUCACGCACACAAUUCAAAAAUUAUUUUGUUUUGCCGUGURUCGACUAUACAUUUCACUACUCAGCACUCAAUGGUAAAACUUUGGCCGCGUUCGCGCAGUCAGUUUAAAGUUUAACUGCAACAUGAGAGACAUUGAGCACGCACGUGUCGUUCCUUUGGGAACUUCACAUCGCGCUGAGCAGACUUUGCGAAGUUUACUUUGCGAAGCAUGUCAUACAAGCAUCUACAGCAUCAAGUCACAGGGUUGGCAAGUGUAUUUUGAACCUUCAAAGCAGUCACGCAUACGGAAGAGUAGUUUCUGAUCCCAUAGAAGGAGCACCGUACAAUGAGAGACCGCUCUUAGUUCUAAGGAACGCAGCAGGCGCGUAAAUUGCCCAAUGCUAGUACCCUACAAUCAAAUUGUAUUUACAUGCGUUAACAAUUUACAACAUAACAAGUUUAUCACACACACAUAUAACACUAUAUUUUUUCUGUUACCCAUACAGAAUUUUCUAUUCUGGACAUCCUUGUUCGUUGUUUUAUUCAGCAUAAAUAAUAUAUCUCCAAUUUUAUUAUUUUACUGAGGCAGUGACAAGCUGUAACGGUUGAGUAUAAAAAUGACGAGUGUCUGGCAUUGCCGCUCUUUCGGGAGCUUGGCAAGUUGCCGACGCUUYGUGUGCUCAAUUGGAAUGCGGUGAGUUUAAGCAACUCAGAACCUUUGGACGGUGUUAGUAAAAUUUCACUGUUCGUGUAUCUGAAUUUCAAGUGGAGGGCAAGUCUGGUGCNNNNNNNNGCGGUAAUACCAGCUCCACUGGCCUAUACAAUCAUUGUUGCGGUUAAGAGGCUCGUAGUUGGAUUGAACUGCAAAUAUGAAUGAAUUCUCAUCAUUCAGUUUGAAAGUUUUACGCGUUGGAAUCAAAUUUAUUUGAUUUCUCAGCGCGUUCGACGCUGUUAAAAUUUUUACAAUUUACACUGUAUUAAUUUUUUUUACCAACGGCACAAAUUUUUUCUGCCGCAUAUAUUUUUACUCACACACACUCAUAACCCACACAAUAUAUGCAUCACACGCGGGAAAUCUUUGGAACUCAUUCACUCAUAGAAUUUAUUCUCCUUUCAACACUGUGAACAAAUCAGAGUGUAUCAAACAUGUCGUUUUUGAAUGUGCAUUGAAUGUCUUAUCAUGGGAUGUUGCACUUUCGCCUUAAAAAAAUUUUACUGCAUUACGUGCCGUACAUAUUUUUUUAUACACACACACGCAUACGCACAUGUUUACAUAGCCACGUAAAAAUUUUUAUCAACGGUAAUUUUUUUUUAACGGUUAAAAAUGUCGAUGGGGAUAGUUGGAGUCAACAGUACUGCUGGGCGAGAGGUGAAAUUCAUUGACCCUAGCAAGACUACCAAAAGCGAAAGCAGUUGGCUAGGCUAUACUCUUUGUGAUUAUAAUGUAUUCGCGCUAUUUCUUCACACACACACGCAAAAAGUUUUAGCGCACACAGUACAUAUUAUAUACACUUUACAAUGAAGAACGAAGGUUGGGGGAUCAAAGAGGAUCAGAUACCCUCGUCGUCCCAUUAAUUACAUCAAACGAUGGGCUCUCAAUUGCAUUUUUCAUUAAAUUGCAAAUUUCCUCAGCUUACAAAAUAACUUGGCUUGAGCUCGUAUUUUUAUACGCUCGCCUAAUUUUUUUCGUAUAGUCUCGAUGGACGUUUCAUUUAUUAUUUUUUGCGUGUAAGCAUUUGUUAUUCUUUGAAACAUAAGAAUGCAUUGCGUGCACUUGAUUUUCGGAGCUUUGCGCUCAAUUCUGGUGAGAUGUAAGCAUUGUGUCAUACUGCCCGCAGCGUAUAGUCUCGGCUAUUUCGUCUGUCGUGUGUAGUUGACAAUCUUGAUGUGAAGCACGCUUUAGGCACGCGCUUACUGCAGAAAUGUCUGAGACAUUCCCCUCCGGGGGUAGUAUGCACGCAAGUGUGAAACUUGAAGGAAUUGACGGAAGGGCACCACAAGAACGCGUGGAGCAUGUGGCUUAAUUUGACUCAACGCGGGAAAUCUUACCGGGUCCGGACACACUGAGGAUUGACAGGCAAUAUUAAUACGUGUUUCGGCGCGUAUUAUGUUAAAUAUGCUAGUCCUUUCAUGAUUAUGUGAUAGGUGGUGCAUGGCCGUUCUUAGUUCGUGGAGUGAUCUGUCUGCUUAAUUGCGUUUCACUAAGAAUCUAUCAAUACGUGCGUUGCGGCACUUUGACCCCUCUCUGAGCGCGCGUCUUAGUUGCUUAGCUCGCACAAUUAGGUUCUGAAAGCAACGAACGUGACCGCAACCUCUUGUUGCCUUUAUACCAAACAUUUUUGCUGUUCUCAGCAUUAAUGCAAAAAGGCUUUUUAAACUAGAGGGACCGCUGUUACUUUCUUAAACCAGAGGAAGGUUGCGGCAAUAACAGGUCUGUGAUGCCCUUAGAUGUUCCGGGCUGCACACGUGCUACAAUGAUUGUUGCAGUGAGCAUCUCAUUUUUACACACCGCAUGCGCGAGUCCGUUUAUUCACUUCGGUGUUUUAAACGUGUAUUUCUGCGCGCGGUAAAGCCUGCUUCGAGAGUAAGUGGGUAAUCAAUUAGAAGUAACGAUUUCCUUUAGCACACAUAUAUACGGCGUCUAUGCCCGGGUUGCCUUGUUGUAACUUCUGUGCGUAUAGAUGUUUUUUCCGUAUGUGCGAUUGUCAAUUCAUGGUGGGGACAGACCAUUGUUAAUUGUUGGUCUCGGUCUUAACUGGGAAUGCCUUGUACGGGUCUUUGGUUCAACAAACCACCCGGAAUACGUCCCUGCCCUUUGUACACACCGCCCGUCGCUCUUACCGAUGGACUUCUCUGUGAGUUUGAGGGACUGGGGAUCGCGGACGAUUUAUCUGCACAACCUAUGGAAACUUAAACGAACAGUGUGGUCUAAAGGAAAGAGAAGUCGAACAAGGCA
This 3373-nucleotide ribosomal RNA is filed under the name Oridorsalis umbonatus. Its description in RNAcentral is "SSU rRNA". It matches the Rfam family "Eukaryotic small subunit ribosomal RNA". Lineage: Eukaryota; Foraminifera; Rotaliida; Alabaminidae. The record is from RNAcentral.